CUGUCCUUAGUACGAGAGGACCGGGAUGGACAUACCUCUGGUGUACCAGUUGUCGUGCCAACGGCAUAGCUGGGUAGCUAUGUAUGGACGGGAUAAGUGCUGAAAGCAUCUAAGCAUGAAGCCCCCCUCAAGAUGAGAUUUCCCAACUUCGGUUAUAAGAUCCCUCGAAGAUGACGAGGUUAAUAGGUUCGAGGUGGAAGCGUGGUGACACGUGGAGCUGACGAAUACUAAUCGAUCGAAGACUUAAUCAA
This 251-nucleotide ribosomal RNA is filed under the name Staphylococcus epidermidis NIHLM039. RNAcentral describes it as "partial 23S ribosomal RNA". It matches the Rfam family "Bacterial large subunit ribosomal RNA", at positions 2672 to 2925 of the family's 2925-position model. The record is from RNAcentral. Lineage: Bacteria; Bacillati; Bacillota; Bacilli; Caryophanales; Staphylococcaceae. RNAcentral also lists the same sequence under 1 other name.